RNAcentral lists this unclassified non-coding RNA (301 nucleotides) under Glomeraceae sp. Its description in RNAcentral is "partial contains 5.8S ribosomal RNA, internal transcribed spacer 2, and large subunit ribosomal RNA". The stretch from base 1 to 71 matches the Rfam family "5.8S ribosomal RNA", at positions 84 to 154 of the family's 154-position model. The record is from RNAcentral. Lineage: Eukaryota; Fungi; Glomeromycota; Glomeromycetes; Glomerales; Glomeraceae.
GUGAAUCAUCAAAUCUUUGAACGCAAAUUGCACUUUCUGGUAUUCCGGAAAGUAUGCCUGUUUGAGGGUCAGUUAAAUAAAAAUCGGUGUUAUUGCUUAUUUAAUGGUGAUGCAUCGGAAUUGCGUCGUCUUUACCCUUUGGUUUUUAAGUGACUUAAAAAUUUUGUACGAUUUUUGAACGUAUUUAAAUUUUUUACGUACGUUUAUAAUAUCAUAUAUUAGGCGUGGUCAUUUUUAUGAUUUCGCGUCUAUAAUUUUUCAUUAUUUGACCUCAAAUCAGGUAAGAAUACCCGCUGAACUU